CAUUUCGACGAUAGCAGUCUGGUCCCGUUAUCGACUGAGAGCAACGUGGGAGCACGGAUAUAAUCCUGAUAGUCCACGCUGUAACCGAUGAUGCUAGAUGGGCCUGUCACGUUUCGUGUCAGAGAUUACGUGAUACGCAUCCCGCUGGAGGAGUACGCCACAGGCUAAAUCUCAAAAGAUAGUCGACGGGGCCCGCACAGCGCGAGCAUGCAGUAUAAUUAGAUGCACGAGAGAUUUUUACGUGGUCUCGACAUGUUCCCGAUGAUCCCAGAUGAUGGGGGUCUCUCUCGGGGCGUGCUUCAGCAGGUGCAUCAUGGUCGUCGUCAGCGUCGUCGUCGAUGAGAUGUGGGAUUUAGUCGCAGCAACGAGCACCACUCUUCGCCGCCGUUGUUACCAGCGUAUUAUGCGGGAUCUUCACGGGGGACCGCGGUGUUAAUUAGGAGGAAGGUGGGGAUGUCGUAUCAUCAUCAUCCCCAUGUCGUCCGGGUCUUCCACCAUGCAACAAUGGCUGCAACAAGGGGAGGCACCGCGAGGAGGAGGGGAGGAUCCAUGAAAACUGUCAUCAGUUAGGACAGCAUUCUGCAAUUCGACGGGAAGAAGGAGUAGUUAUUAGUAAUGAAUAAUCAGCAUCGUGGCGAAGAAGUUGUUCCGGGCCGUUCACCCCACCGCCCAACAAUUCAAAAAAGGGGGCACCACCAGAAGCCGGUGUCUUACCCCCUGGGGGGGGGCAGCCUUAUAAGAGGAGCUUGAUGAUGGGGAAUAAGUAGCAACAAGGUAGCCGUACAGGAAGGGGCGGCUGCAUCUCCUCUUUUCUAAGAAGAAUACGGCAGGAUGUUCUUCCGGCGGGGGGUCCCCCGUCGUGGCGGCAGUGGCGGCGUUUGGGGGCUGGUGUGGAGGAGAAGAUCAGGGGUUUUCGGGUCUUCCGUGGGGGGAUGUUCGGGGGGAGUGGGGGGGAGCCGUUUUGGGCCUCCCGGAUCCCCCCCCCAGCCUUCGGCCUGGCGCGAUUCGAUGCCCAUCGUGCAUGAUGGCGGGCUGGUCCCGUCCGGACGGCGUGGUGGUGCGUGGUGGCUUGAGAACUGGAUAGUGGACGCGAGCAAGACGGGGUUUCCUUUGAUUCCUCGUUCUUGCUGUUGAUUUAGAAUCGAACUAUAUUUUUAGUGUUUGUUUCGAUCGUUUUGUGAUCAUUUUAGUGUGAUGAUUUGUCGUCUGGGAAUUUGCUAGGAAGGAUCCUUGCGGCCAUGCGCACCGUGUGUGCCA
Molecule: unclassified non-coding RNA, 1257 nt
Filed under: Bifidobacterium sp. 135
Lineage: Bacteria; Bacillati; Actinomycetota; Actinomycetes; Bifidobacteriales; Bifidobacteriaceae
Description: partial 16S-23S ribosomal RNA intergenic spacer
Rfam family: Bacterial small subunit ribosomal RNA (bases 1-812)
Source: RNAcentral